Molecule: transfer RNA, 66 nt
Filed under: Typomys trivirgatus (West African Hybomys)
Lineage: Eukaryota; Metazoa; Chordata; Mammalia; Rodentia; Muridae
Description: Hybomys trivirgatus (West African Hybomys) tRNA-Thr
Source: RNAcentral
GCCCUGAUAGUAUAAAAAUUACUUUGGUCUUGUAAACCAAAAAUGAGAAUACAUUCUCUCAAGGCU